AAAGUCCGAAAAUUUGCUUUAUUAAUCACCAGAAAUCAUUUGUAAGAAUCUCUAACAAUCAAUCACUCAAAACACAAAGUCUCACAAUAUAAUGUUUAAUAUCACCGAGUCUAACCUCAAAAACUUGGUUUUUCAAACUAUUUAUAAAAAAAUAAAAACCUAAUUAAACAAGGAUUUUAAUUACUGGAAAUCUGCCAAAACGCGGCUGGGUCGACGGACCACGCGACGGACCGUCGUGGUCAUGACGAACCCUCGUGGACUCCGUCGUCCCAUACUUGGUGAAAUUCUUCUGCUGCUUUCUUCAUUCCCCUCGACAGCAAGUGUGAUGGACCGUCAUAAGCACAAUGGUCCGUCGAGGGUCUUGUUUCAAAAUACUUCAACUCUUGGAAUCUGGGUACUGGGAUCACUUCUCUGAUCUUCACGACGAACCUGCAGGACGGACCGUCAUAAUCUUCGUAACCCCACACUUGUUAGACUUCCCCAUCUUCCUUCAGCAGCUUCUCUACGCUGCCACCUACGGAGCGUCACAAGCACGACGGACCGUCAUAAGCUCCGUAGGUGGUCUCUUCUACAAUUUUUGCUCCAAAUCUCCGCGUUCAGCUUUGGACAGAUUUCUUGCAAAACAAAGAGAAAAUUAUAUUAAACUUAGCACAAACAAGGCUUUCGGACACACUAAACUUAAGGAAAAAGUAUUAAUUAUACCGUGAAACAACGGUAUAUCAACACUUAUACUUUAUUUUUACUCACACAUUGGCACAUCAGCAUAAAUUCAUCCUAAGUUAAACUAAACUGUAACUCAUCCUAACCAGUAACGACUCCUUUGACUUCUACCAUAAAAUCCAUAUACAUUAUUAUUCCAUUGUUUUCACAUAAAGUAAAAACUCCAUACCAAUGACUUAUUAGGUAUGUGACAACGACUACACACUUUACUCAAUAACUAUCUCUAUUUCGACUACACACUUUACUCAAUAAAUGUCUCUAUUUCUUAGGUUACAAUAUUUCUAAAUAUAUACUUUUAACUUUGAAAACUUCUACUACUAGUAGUUCAUAAUAUUGCAAAUCAAAUUAUCUUUCGAACAAUAACACUAACCAAGCACUGUGAAAACACACUGCCCUCUUAAAGGGGUGCACCUGAAAAAAAGUUUAGAGAAAAGAAUUGGAGUGCAUAUCUUUGUUUUUUGCUCGAACGCAUGAUUUAUAUGAAUAAUGGUGCAUUUUUUUAAAUCAAUACACUUACGUAUACUGAUGGGCUUCUCUCAAGCCUAGUUGCAGUCUCCUUGACUCCAGAAUGACUUCAUUUGCGAGUAACUCGCCGUUAAUUUUUGGGCUAUGAUAUUUGAACCAACUUGAGUAUGAAGGGUAGUCUAAUGGAUUUAAGAAAUGCAUGAUUCUGAAUAACUUUCUUAUGACACAAUUCAAUUGCGCAGUCUGGAGUACGAAAGAAUGAGAAACAUCUCCUAAAUGUGUUGCAACCUCCUAAUAAUAAGUGUAGUUCACCACAUAUCCAUAAGCUAAACUGUACAAGAGUACACAAUUUCAUAGACACCCUAAGACAAGUAAACUCUCCACUCUAAUAUCAAGUUUGUUAGGCUCUAAGUGUAUACCUCAGACAUGGCCGACACUUAAAAUCAUUGUGCAACCCAAGCAAAACUCUUGGCAUGAUGACUACAUAGUGGAAAACUAUACAUACAUGCGGAAGCCUUAUAAAGUAGACAAUAUCACUAGUGUGUUGGGAUGUUACUAAAUGGUAUAAAAAUCACUCCUCAAUUCGCCUUGUCGAUGAGGGCCAAAGCUCAAUUAAGUUUAGGAAAAUCUCGAUAAGACAGGUUAAAUCUAUGUCCUGAGUCUAGGCAAAUCUCAUACGGUGGGGCAAACCUCAACGAGGAAGCUGAGUCUAUAGAGAGGGUGUAUGUGACAACCCUGGUUAAUAUUAGAAUUCUCAUAUCAACACUACAUCGAAUAGAUGUUAGGUAUAUAUGUAAGUAGAUAAUACCAACUAGUUAUGCAUUUUAAGUCGUGUGGGCAUAGACCAAAAAUAGACAAUAACACUAGGAGGUUGAGUCGUUACAUUUGGUUGAUCAUUUAAUUAUUUGGUCAACAGGUAAUUAGGUGUAAUUAGCAUGGGGUAACUACACUCUCCAAUUGUUAGUGAGGGACUAUGAAGUGUUAUUAAUUACAUGAUACAAUUACACGCUCAUGACUUUUUAAUUAAUUUUUUUACUUUUUAUUUAAUUAUAUCUUAAAUCCUACUCCCUCUAUUCUAAUUUAUUUUACACAUUUCAGUUUACGAGAGUCAACCAAUUUAAAUUUGACCGAGAAUUUUCUCUUGAAAACUUCAUAUAUUUUAAAGUGAAAUAUAUAUUUGAUAACUACACAAAAAGUACUAUAAAUAACAAUAAUUGAUAAUUCAAAAUAUUUAAAAGAUACAUGAAAAAAUUACGGUCAAAGAUAGACUAGUUUGAAUCUUGACAUUUGAAAUGUGUCACAUAAAUUGGGAGAUAUGAAGUAUUAUUUUAAACUAGUAUACGUACCCGCAUGUUGCGCGGUUAGUUGAUAAAUGUAAUCAUAAAUAUUUAUUUAUUGAUAAUUUUAAAAUUAAACUAGUUACAAAGACAAUAUUGUUGAGAGAAUGUUAAUUGGAAAAAUGCACAAGUACCCCCUCAACUUAUGUCUAAAAUUCUAGAGACACACUUAUACUACUACUAAGGUCCUAUUACCCCCCCCCCCCCUAAACUUAUUUUAUAAGUAAUUUUCUACACCUUUUCGAUCUUUGUGGCACUAGCUUAAAAAAAAUUCAACUAGCAUUAGACCAACAAGAUAGUGUCACGUAGGCGGAAAUGGAGUAGAAAAUUAUUAAUAAAAUAAGUUCAGGCGAGUAAUAGGACCUUAGUAUAGCAUCAGUAUGUCUCUGAGAUUUCGGGCAUAGGUUGAGGGGAUACUUGUGCAUUAGCAUUUGAAAAUUUGUAUGUUAUAAUUGAAUAUUUAUGUAAAUUAAUCAAUAUAUAAGCUUAGUUAAUUGUCUAAAUUAUAAAGAUAAAUUUUAUUUUCUGUUAUCAUUGUUAUCGAAGAUAUAGAGAUAACAUUAAUAAGUUCUUUUAUUAUAAAUAAAUAAUGACUUUUUCAUUUAUAUCUACUUUUGUUUAUAAAAAAAUAAUUAAAAUUCAAAUUAUCACUAAUGUAAAACAUAAAUCAUAAUUAUCUAAGUGCAAUUAUGUCCUACAUAAUCACGGUAUUAGUAAAGAACAUUUGAAACGUACACGUCCAUAAUAUAUAUAUAUAUAUAUAUAUAUAUAUAUAUAUAUAUUCAUGUGAGAAAAAACACAUCAUUUUUCUGCCGGUUCCUACACCUACACAUACACAAUUCAUAAAUCAAACCAAUUCAUGAGUAAUUAAAAUGAGAAGAGCCCAAUUAUAAAGAAAAAAAAAUAAACAAUACACUUACCAUGAGAAACAGAGAAGAAAAGCAUGACAAAAAUAGCAACGAUGAAAAUGGAACGCCCCAUAGAUAGAUAGAUAGAUAGAUAAAUAGAUAAAAUUUCUAAUCUAGCUUGAAAAUAUGUUUCUAAACCUUUUAGGGUAUUUAAAAGAGUGAAGAAGGUUUUUUUUUAAAAAAAAUAAAUUGGUGGGCAGCUCGCUUAAAUUAGAGAACCUAGAAAACAACGAAAUCAGUAUUUAUUCACUUUGGAGACGUUCUCAGAUCUGAUAUUGACGUGUAUAAAUCAUAAUUAAUAUUUAAAAGAAUGAAGAAGGGUUUUUUUUAAAAAAAUGGUGGGGAGUUGGCGUAAAAUAGACAACCAAGAAAAUAUCGAAAUCACUAUAUAUUGACUUUGGAGACGUUCUCAGAUCUGAUAUUUUUGUUUGAUUUUUUGAAGAAAGACUGAUGUUUUACAAAGAUGGAAGAGAAAAUGAAUGAACAUAUCAGAAAUUACUAUUCUCUAACCAUGUUUUAUCAAAAAAAGAAAACAUACCUGAAGUUUUAAGUUGCAAAUUGAUUAAUGUUUGUUGAAAGAAGAGAGCUGGAAGAAAUUAAGCUUUAAAACCAUGUUUGAGUAAGUCUUUGUGGUAAGGAUGAAUUGAAAUUUUUUGUUUAAACAAAGGCUGAUGUUCUAGAAAGAUGGAAGAGAAAUGGAUCCGCAAACAUUUGCUAUUGAAA
This 4153-nucleotide long non-coding RNA is filed under the name Solanum lycopersicum (tomato). Its description in RNAcentral is "long non-coding RNA (SLYC_LNC000797)". The record is from RNAcentral. Lineage: Eukaryota; Viridiplantae; Streptophyta; Magnoliopsida; Solanales; Solanaceae.